RNAcentral lists this ribosomal RNA (817 nucleotides) under uncultured organism. RNAcentral describes it as "SSU rRNA". It matches the Rfam family "Bacterial small subunit ribosomal RNA", at positions 655 to 1472 of the family's 1533-position model. The record is from RNAcentral.
AGGGGGGUAGAAUUCCAGGUGUAGCGGUGAAAUGCGUAGAGAUCUGGAGGAAUACCGGUGGCGAAGGCGGCCCCCUGGACAAAGACUGACGCUCAGGUGCGAAAGCGUGGGGAGCAAACAGGAUUAGAUACCUUGGUAGUCCACGCCGUAAACGAUGUCGACUUGGAGGUUGUGCCCUUGAGGCGCGGCUUCCGGAGCUAACGCGUUAAGUCGACCGCCUGGGGAGUACGGCCGCAAGGUUAAAACUCAAAUGAAUUGACGGGGGCCCGCACAAGCGGUGGAGCAUGUGGUUUAAUUCGAUGCAACGCGAAGAACCUUACCUACUCUUGACAUCCAGAGAACUUAGCAGAGAUGCUUUGGUGCCUUCGGGAACUCUGAGACAGGUGCUGCAUGGCUGUCGUCAGCUCGUGUUGUGAAAUGUUGGGUUAAGUCCCGCAACGAGCGCAACCCUUAUCCUUUGUUGCCAGCGGUCCGGCCGGGAACUCAAAGGAGACUGCCAGUGAUAAACUGGAGGAAGGUGGGGAUGACGUCAAGUCAUCAUGGCCCUUACGAGUAGGGCUACACACGUGCUACAAUGGCGCAUACAAAGAGAAGCGACCUCGCGAGAGCAAGCGGACCUCAUAAAGUGCGUCGUAGUCCGGAUUGGAGUCUGCAACUCGACUCCAUGAAGUCGGAAUCGCUAGUAAUCGUGGAUCAGAAUGCCACGGUGAAUACGUUCCCGGGCCUUGUACACACCGCCCGUCACACCAUGGGAGUGGGUUGCAAAAGAAGUAGGUAGCUUAACCUUCGGGAGGGCGCUUACCACUUUGUGAUUCAU